CGACGUCCCUGCUCCAGGAGGUGACAGAGCCAACAGGUGGCCCCUGGGGUGCCACGGGGCAGGGGGCGGACAGGCUUCCAUCCGAGGACCUCGGCCUCGGGCCUCCCCGCCUCCCGACGCCGCUCACCCCGAGGUAGAGGAAGGAUCGCGCUCCUGUUAUUUGAUGGGUCUCCCAUGUGCCGUGUAAGGAAACCACCUUUCUUCACACGCAAAUACCCCUUCCGGGCAGUUCUAGCCUCCGCGCCUUCAUGCCCCUUCCCAGCAGCCAGUUUGACCCCUCGGCCUCCAGCGAGCCCCCUGUGACGGUCACUGGAGAAUGAAUGGCGUGCAAAGCGAAUGGACAUACAGUGCUAUGUUGCGUGGUUCAAGCCGGAGGGGUUCUCCUUAAACCUCAGUGAAGACUCUAGAUGAGAUGGACACACAGAUUUUCACGGGAGAAGUGAGCCACCUGGUAUGGACUGAGGGGAAGCAGCGUGCUUAAAUUCAGGAAAUCAGAAAGCUAUCUCCAAUACUGUAGUUAAAAUUUUGAACUCCUGGUCUUCACCUGGGCUUUAGUGCUUCACUAAGUUGAUGAAGUUUGUUUUUAAUAAUCUUUAUUGCUUUUUCUUUUCCACGCAGAACAUGUACAGAUAGUCGAUUAAUUUUUGGUUGACCUAUUACAAAAAAAUUUAGAAAUGUAUCUAAAGAAGAAAAUUUAAAUUGCCCUUAAUCUCACUAUCCACAGGUAACGAAUGUUAACAUUUUUUUUUAAUGUUAACAUUUUGAUGUUUGUCUUUCCAAACUUGGAUCUGUAAAUGUGCAUGUAUACUCGUACAUAUCCAUGUAUCCCCCAAUACUUGUUUUUGCAAAAAUGAAGUCUUGCUAUAUAUGUGUUUUUUUUGUAGCUUGCCUUUUUCUAUUUAUGUACUUUUAUCUCUUUCCACAUUAAUAAAUACAUGUCUUUACCAAUA
Myotis lucifugus (little brown bat) is the source of this 950-nucleotide long non-coding RNA. RefSeq lists it as uncharacterized. The transcript is spliced from 2 exons. The record is from RefSeq and is a predicted model, not a curated record. Lineage: Eukaryota; Metazoa; Chordata; Mammalia; Chiroptera; Vespertilionidae.